Molecule: ribosomal RNA, 497 nt
Filed under: uncultured bacterium
Lineage: Bacteria
Description: partial 16S ribosomal RNA
Rfam family: Bacterial small subunit ribosomal RNA
Source: RNAcentral
GAAGAACGCUGGCGGCGUGCCUAAUACAUGCAAGUCGAGCGAACAGACGAUGAGCUUGCUCCUCUGACGUUAGCGGCGGACGGGUGAGUAACACGUGGAUAACCUACCUAUAAGACUGGGAUAACUUCGGGAAACCGGAGCUAAUACUGGAUAAUAUAUUGAACCGCAUGGAUCAAUAGUGAAAGACGGUUUUGCUGUCACUUUUAGAUGGUUCCGCGCCGCAUUAGCUAGUUGGUAAGGUAACGGCUUACCAAGGCAACGAUGCGUAGCCGACCUGAGAGGGUGAUCGGCCACACUGGAACUGAGACACGGUCCAGACUCCUACGGGAGGCAGCAGUAGGGAAUCUUCCACAAUGGGCGAAAGCCUGACGGAGCAACGCCGCGUGAGUGAUGAAGGUCUUCGGAUCGUAAAACUCUGUUAUUAGGGAAGAACAAAUGUGUAAGUAACUAUGCACGUCUUGACGGUACCUAAUCAGAAAGCCACGGCUAACUACGUG